CAAAGAAGCUGCAAUUUGAAA
RNAcentral lists this microRNA (21 nucleotides) under Populus x canadensis (hybrid black poplar). Its description in RNAcentral is "PC-3p-1014196_1". The record is from RNAcentral. Lineage: Eukaryota; Viridiplantae; Streptophyta; Magnoliopsida; Malpighiales; Salicaceae.